This 668-nucleotide ribosomal RNA is filed under the name Halobacillus sp. SCULCB HBCM-13. RNAcentral's name for it is "bacterial SSU rRNA". It matches the Rfam family "Bacterial small subunit ribosomal RNA", at positions 62 to 700 of the family's 1533-position model. Lineage: Bacteria; Bacillati; Bacillota; Bacilli; Caryophanales; Bacillaceae. The record is from RNAcentral.
UCCCGGGACGUUAUCUGAUCCUCUUUUAGAGGUGACGAUAAUGGAAUGAGCGGCGGACGGGUGAGUAACACGUAGGCAACCUGCCUGUAAGACUGGGAUAACUCGUGGAAACGCGAGCUAAUACCGGAUAACACUUUUCAUCUCCUGAUGAGAAGUUGAAAGGCGGCUUUUGCUGUCACUUACAGAUGGGCCUGCGGCGCAUUAGCUAGUUGGUAAGGUAAUGGCUUACCAAGGCGACGAUGCGUAGCCGACCUGAGAGGGUGAUCGGCCACACUGGGACUGAGACACGGCCCAGACUCCUACGGGAGGCAGCAGUAGGGAAUCUUCCGCAAUGGACGAAAGUCUGACGGAGCAACGCCGCGUGAGUGAUGAAGGUUUUCGGAUCGUAAAACUCUGUUGUUAGGGAAGAACAAGUGCCAUAGUAACUGAUGGCACCUUGACGGUACCUAACCAGAAAGCCACGGCUAACUACGUGCCAGCAGCCGCGGUAAUACGUAGGUGGCAAGCGUUGUCCGGAAUUAUUGGGCGUAAAGCGCUCGCAGGCGGUUCUUUAAGUCUGAUGUGAAAUCUUACGGCUCAACCGUAAACGUGCAUUGGAAACUGGGGAACUUGAGUGCAGAAGAGGAGAGUGGAAUUCCACGUGUAGCGGUGAAAUGCGCAGAUAUCAG